UGGAAUAUCGAUUGAUACAUUCAUGAUAGAUCUCCAGAGUACAUAUAUUACAUGUCCACAGCAAACCAAGAACCAAUGCUGGUUCUAGUACACUAAGGAAAACAGCAUAAAAACCUUGAAUACAUAUCCUGACCACUUCUAGUACAAUACCUGAAUAUUGAUUGAUACAUUCAUGAUAAAUCUCAAAAGCAUUUAUUGAAUUACAUGAGAGCAAACCAAGAACCAGUGAUGGUCCUCUCAUCUUAGCUUCUACCCAUUGAUUUUACCUCUCAAGGAAGUCCAGGUAAUAGCCACAUGCACAUAAACCCAAUCAUACAGGCUGUCACAGAGCGAGUACCAAACAGCUCUCCAUCUCCUCUUGAACAAGAAGGUACAGAAGACCACCCAGAGACCCAUUACAAAUCCAGAGCUCAUGGCGAGGAGAAAGGAAACCAAGUCAUCGCUUGCAUCUCCAUGGUUUUCUCCUGGAAUUGGCUCAGGCUGCGGGCAAUUCCGCAAGAGAGGAGGGCCGCAGAGACCCGGGUUGCCAAUAUAAAUAGAUGCCUGGUCUUCAAGUGUUUGCAGCUGAUUUCCAGUUGGUAUCUUCCCUCCCAGAUUGUUGUAGGACAGGUUCAGGCGACUCAAUGAUGUGAGAGCCGAUAAGCUUGAAGGGAUUUCACCAGACAAAUCAUUGUGUGAUAGGUCAAGUGACUCCACUUGAAUUAAGGCGCCAAUAUUCUCAGGGAUUUUUCUACUGAAGUUGUUCCAUGAUAAGUUCAGGUUCUUCAAUGCUACAAGAGCGCCAAGUUCUGCAGGGAUCUCUCCGGUAAUACUGUUACAGGAUAAAUCAAGAUUCACCAUAUAUAUGAUUUCUCCUGUAUAUAGUCUCUCUUGACCUUUCGUGAGUAUCGUGAAAUUCUCAUCAUAGACAGAUACUAGUCCCUCACCAUCCGCUCUUUCAAAAGUUAACGCAUUCUGAAGAUUAUCAGAGUUGCCUCUUGUUUGUGUCAUGCCUGUGAAGUUACUAAUAGAUCUUGGUAUGCUCCCUGAUAUAUUGUUGUACGCAAGGUCCAAAUAUCGCAGAUUAACAAGCUUUGUAAGCUCAACUGGAAUGUGACCAUAAAACAUAUUGGAUCUCAGUCGUAAGAAUGACAAAGAUGAUAGCUUCUCCCCAAUCCAUGCUGGUAAAGUCCCAACGAAUUGAUUAUGUCCGAGAUCAAGAAAGAUGAGUUGUGGACAUUUCUGGAGAAGUGAAGGAAAUUCACCAGAGAGGUUGUUGUUUCUCAAGCUUAGAUUAACGAUGCCCAGAUCUGUCAUGUCUGUGAUGGACUUGUUGACUAGGCAAUCGGUAAUUGAUCCAUUGAGGUUAUUUCUUGAUAGAUCUAACAACCUCAAUUCUCGCAAUCUGCACAAUGAAGAUGGAAUGGCCCCAGAGAUCAUGUUGUUAUAUAGAACAAGUGUUCUAAGCCCUGGAGCUCCAAAGUCUAAUGGUAGUGGCCCAACAAGAUUGUUCCGACUGAGAUCCAGGUCGGUUAGAUUGAUGGGAAGCUUAGGUAUUGGACCACCAAGCUGGUUAGAACUGAAAUCCAUUACCUCUGCUCUCAUAAAUUCCAUUGUUGAUGGGAGCACUCCUGUAAUCUGAUUAUUUCGAAUAUUCAGAUAAUCUACUGAGGAAGUUGCUAUCCAAAACCAAUCUGGCACCAUGUCAUUUAUGCUUGUGUUUGAUAUGUCAAGACUCAUUACGGGUGUUUGCCAUCUAAGCCACAUUGGGAAUUUUGGCCCUAGCUGACAGGAUGGAAGGUCAAUCCAAUUUAGGCUGAAAGGAGGGACCCAAGUUGGACUCAGUGUGAUGGCAAUGGAGUUGUCUGACAAUAUCAAAUGCUCUAACAUAGCUAGACGUGAUAAAUGGCCUUCAUGCAUAACCCCGUCCAGGUUAUUAAAGCUAAGGUCCAACAUAGUUAGCUGUGUGAGCUCUCCUAUCCACACCGGGACAUGAAUUCCCACCAAGUUCCAGCCAGCUCAGGUUUCUCAAGGGCUCUACUAGUGUAGUCGGCAGGCUUCCAGUCAGAUUGCUGACAUAUAGAGACAACUCUUUUAGUUUAUUCUGUGAACAGCUGGGUAAUCGAUGGAAUAACUCUGCUAUACUCCCGUUGAUGUUGUUCAUAGAAAAAUCUAAUAUCUCCAAAUUACAUAGGUUCUGUAAGUUGGAUGGUAUCAUGCCCACUAGGUUAUUAUAUGAUAAAUCAAGCUCCACAAUCGAGGUCAUAUUACCUAUCUCGUCCGGAAAAGGGCCAUAGAAACCAUUGCUCGACAUGUCUAGUUUAUGAAGGUGGUUGCGUGAAAGGUCAAGUGUUUCAAGAGAUGUCAGGUUUGAGAGUGGAAGAGAAUCAGGGCUACUUCUAAGCUGGCAAUUGGCAAGACGGAGAACUUUAAGAGUUGGAAGCAUGUUCACAACCGGAAGCCAGUGGACAAUUGUACUGAGGUUCACCCCAGUCAUAUCCAGAUGCUCAAGAGAAGUUAACCACGACAACCAGGUGAUAUCAGUAGAGUGUGUGCCUCUAUGGAAAGAAGAAUCAACACUCCUGUAUGAGUAGGUCUCAAGAUUUAGGUACUGUAAGUUGGAGAGAUUACCCAGCUGUGGUGGUAUCCUUCCAAUGAAUCCUGACCACGAUAGGUCGAGAUAUCUCAGCUGAUGGAGAGAACCCAUGAACUCCGGUAUUUGUAUCUUGUCGAAGCUGUUCCAGCUGAGGUCGAGAUACCGAAGAUGAUGUAAACGAAGCAACGAGGAGCUUAUGUUGCCUGCUAGCGCCUGCCCGGUUCCGUCUUCAGUGCCUCGGAGAUCGAGCCUGACAACAUGGCCGGUUCUGUUGCUGCAGUAGACGCCCUUCCAUCGGCAGCAGGCAUCACUCUUCCAUGAUGGAAGGAGGUUGGCAGGGUCUGAUAGACCUGCCCUGAAGGCCAGAAGGGCAGACCUCUCACCGGCAACACAACUGGGGAUCGCAUCCUUUGGAUGCAGGGCAGAUGUGUCCUGUGUGGUGCUCUUGGCUUGAGUGAACAAGAGCAAGGCUAUGGCUAUUUGGAUGCAGGAGAGCUGAAGCAUGUCCAUGGGUGCUUUUGCCAUGAGUAUGUGUUCUUCUUGGUGUAGGAUACCCUGUGGUAUACAUACAUGAUAUAUAUGUAAUCAAACUCUUGGUGUCGUCUUUCCAAGAUAAAAGUCGCUGGUUGCUGUUUAAUUAAAGCAACCGGAGAGUGAAGUUGAGGGAGCAGACCAAUGAUGGCUUGCAGGCUUGUAUCCAUAUGCUCAUGGAGUUUCUCUCUUGUCCGUUUUGGGAUUUGAGGCAGCAGUGCACACCAAUCAGGGCCUGCAGGCUUGGGAUUUGAUUAAAGCAACUGGACAGUGAAGUUGUAUAUAAUUUAUCAGAGCAGUUUGUUCGUAAUGAAGAAAAAUAUGCACAAAGUUUUGGUUAGUAGCAAUCCUGAUUGUAAAUAUUCUAGGAAUUAUAUAAUGUGUAUGUACAACUGAUGGAUUCCAUUGGUCACUAACAAGUUAGCUCUGGUGUCGAUGUUUGUGUUAGCUCUGGUGGCACACUAACAAGGACUCUGGUGCUUGGAAUUCAAAGCCACUGGUCAGCAAUGUGAGCUGGGUGCAGUUUUUCCGAGGAUCAUGAAUCAGUUCGGAAUGGAACAAAAUAAGUAUAAAUGUUUUCAUUAUAAAUAAAUCCAAAGUGUAGAUAUGCCAUAAUAUUUGGGAUGUGUUCGUAUAUAAAGAGGAAACGAUGAAUCCCACUACAAAAGUCCAAAUUAAGUUUGAUCAGAAAGAAGUUCCAACCUUGGGGCGUCUGGCGAAGCCAAUCCCAUCCAUCUGUGUGGGUAAAUGAUGAAUCCCCAUCCAUCUUUGUAAAUUUAUUAUGUAACUCACCGAAAGCAAAGUUUGCAUCCGUUGUGAACUGGGAGAAAAAAUGAUUGGGUGUUCGCUCUGGCGAAGUAUCAUUUGCUCGAGCAGUUUGCGUGCGUGCGCAUGUGCGUCCACCGGAAACACGGCGAGAGAGUGAGGCUCCUGCUUGUCAACAAAGGAAUGGUGGAGGACGGAGAGGACCUUGUGACCUCGAGGGCGAUGGCGCCGGUGACGAUGUCGGAAGACGCCGUCGAGCGGGCUGGCGGCGACCCGCUGGACGAGCUCCCCCCGCGCGCGACGCCGACCCGCUCCAGCGCCACCAUCCUCCUUCGCCGCACCCCUACCGGGCUUGACCGCCGCCUUGGGUCCUCCGCCCCCACUACCCGCUGGCGCCGGUCGCCGGCGAUGUAGGAGUGGGCAGAGCCGGCGACCCAGUGACUCUUACAAGUGACCCACCGAAGGAAAUCAAGAUUUUUUAAUAAUCCCUCUACUCCAUAUUAAUUGAUGCACAAAGUUAGACUGAGGGCCUGUUUAGAUUGUGAUUAUCUUUGCCACAUUAUUUUUAUCACACUUGCUUAACUUGAGUUGCGCAAAUUUUUAACCAUACUUUCGUUUGCCUAAAAAAUUUCUUGCCUUACAUGUGUCAAGAAUCAAACACCCGGUCAAAUUUCUCUAAGGUAAGGUGUGACAAAGUGUGGCAAGGUGUGGUUAGAAACUAAAAAGACACUUUCAAUUAACAUGGAUUGGUGGAAGUACACCCUCCAUUUUUUAUAUACAACCACUAUUGAAAUUAUAAUUUGCAGCUAUAUAAGGCUACUAAUAUUGAUCGACGUAAAUAUUGAUGGAGUGAGAAGGUUGAUUUGCAUGCGUUGCAUUAAUCAACCAAUAAGGAGUGAGAGAGUUGUCUUGUUGUGUGUUGAAGAAAAAAAUACACAUUAAUUUACACGUCAAACUAGGAAGAAAGUUGGCCUCAACAUUGGUUUAAACCAGCAUUCAUUUUUUACCUUGGUACAUGUAAUAUAGGUUUAUUGCUUUGUAUACAAAAAUGAAGGGAGUACUAAUUUUAUGGAAUCCUCUAUUUUCAGUUAGCUUUAAUAAGUCAAAAGCUUUUUUUUACAGAAUUAAUCAAAAGCUUACAAAGAGCAAAUUAUAUGUGUACCACUGUCGAUUUACCUGUAUAUUCAAGAAAAAUGUGGGGGUACAUGUAUAUUCAAAUGGUACUGGAUUUUUGUUAUUCCAAAUAUGCCACUAAAAAUUUGCACACGAUACAAUUUGUCACUUUUGUGGCUCAUAUGAAGAAACAAAAAAAAAAUUACCCGAGGACCCAAUAUCUUGUUCCAUGCGUGUGCAGCAAAGAGGGAAAGCUCAAAACUCAGAAUACCAAUUGUUUUGAUCCUACUUCUUGUAUCUCUCGAGAACAGCACAAGACCUUCCUUCGUCUAGCCGAAGCUAGCCAGUCAGAUCCGUAUUACAACUUGGAGAAGAAGAAAGAGGCAUGCCCCUUUGAGGGUUCAAAUGAUUCACCGGAUGCCUCUCUGGACAGAAGUACAGCUACUUUAUAGCACACCACAUAACAGAACUCUCUUACAAGUGGGUCCCGCCUAGUAUGUGAUCCAUUCCUUCCCUGCGUACCGGCUGGACUUGGUAUAAGGCCUUAUCUGACCUGCGGGGUCCAGCAGAGACUGUGGAUUUAUUUAUUUUGUUUUUGCAAAUAGAGACUGUGUAUGUUGAACCAGCGCUGUUCUGUCCCUUAAGGAACUUGAGUUUCUUCAGGAACGGCGUCCGCUGUUGAUUGCUGCUGCUGCUGCUCUUUCGGCUUCAGCGUUGUGCCCCCAAGAUCGAAACUUGGCUCUGAUAAAGUAAUUUUCAGUUUUCAAAUUUGAAAUUCCCUUUUCUUUUCAUUGAGCCAAAGCUGUAUAUAUUUCAUUUCGUUUCUCUUUCACUCGUUUUGCUGCAUUUUGUCAAACUUCAUGCCGAGCUGAUUAUCUUUUCCUGCUUUCCUCAAGCAUCAUCGGGUCUGAAUUUCAAAACCGGAAACUACUAAUAUAUGGAGUGUUGUUCCGGAAGAGCAGGGGCAAAAGCGGAGCCGUUCUCAGCGAGCCAGCAUUGACCAUAGUUCCACCCCAAGCAGUCAUUUCACCUUUUGUUCACUGCUUGGUUCUGUUUCGCUGAUUACAUGCCUGCUUUUGGGGUUGACAUCGUUUGCUCCAGUUCUUCAAGCUGAUUCAAAAUGACUCAGCCAUGUCCAAAAAAAAAAACAAUCCUUAUAAGCAAGAAAAAAAAACAUGUUCCUUGUCAUAGAGCCAGAACAUGUUAAUGAGAAAGAUCGGUAACAUAAAUCCAAUCUCGUUUGCUACCUUGCCCGGUUUCAGCCAAUAUGCCACUGAAGGACACUAUCUCAUCUUCUAGAGCAGAUUUCUCAUAACACCCUUGUAUCAGAAGCAGAUGCAUCAUUAUCAACCAACAAAACUUCCAGAGCAUUUUUCAGGUUCUGCAUCAUUGUCAACCAGCAUAGUAAGGUAGCAGCAGCACAAUAUUGGACCGCACCUCCAAGUGCGGACCCUAACUCGCACAAUAUGCAGAAGUUUCUAGGACUGAACUAAAGAAACUAUUUCUAGGACUGAAUUAAAGAGGUUAACAAAGCAAAUAUCUACAAGAUACAGGCAUUAUCUGAACUCAUGUUUGCCUUUUACAUAUGCAAUAACAUGUGCACUUAUGCAAGUGAAGGAACCUGUGCUAAGAUAAGGAUACAUAACAGCACUUGGGUUGCAAAUAUGUUGCUUUAUUAUACAGUUCGACAGUUUGACAAUGGUCAGACUGAACCAAGCAGUCCAAGAGAGCUGAAGGUUUGAAGCAGUGGUCAAGAUAGCAGUCUAUGUCAUCUGUAAAUCGGAUACGGGGGCAUGACUAUAAAAAACAUCCAACGGUUAUAUGCAAAAACAGAGAUCACCUCUUUCCGUAGAGACCUCUAUUGCCAUAGCAAAAAAGGACUUCAAUUUUCUCUCCAUAGUACGGUCUGGGUUCUUCUCAACUAUUGCUCUUGCCAGGCCAGAACAAAAUCAGAAUCACCUUCAUUCUUGCCAUCACCGGUUUCAACCUCCUUAUCUUUGCCAUUUGAGUUUUGCCCGAGGUAUCAGUAUUUACCAUGGAAUUAUUAUAAAAUGAAAUGCACCAACAACAGAAAGCACAUAGAAAACACAUCAUAUAUAAAAAUUAAAAAACCUCAGUUGAUGGCAACCUAGAAUUCAUACAUGUGCAUGACUAGUUCCAAUACAGUGCACCUAGAAUGCAUACAUGUGCGUGACUUGUUCCAGUACAAUACACUGGAAUAUCAAUUGACACAUUCAUGAUAAAUCUCCAGAUUAUAUCAUAUUACAUAUCUAGAGCAAACCAAGGACCACCAGUGCUGGUUCUAGUACAAUAUGGAAAAUAGCAACCAAUCUCAGUCCAUGGUACGCACCUUGAAUACAUAUCCUGACUAGUUCUAGUACAAUAUAAUACCUGAACAUCGAUUGAUACAUUCAUGAUAAAUCUCAAAAGCAUUUAUUGAAUUACAUGAGAGCAAACCAAGAACCAGUGAUGGUCAUCUCAUCUCAGCUUCUACCCAUUGAUUUUACCUCUCAAGGAACUCCAGGUAAUAGCCACAUGCACAUAAACCCAAUCAUACAGGCUGUCACAGAG
RNAcentral lists this long non-coding RNA (7555 nucleotides) under Triticum aestivum (bread wheat). Its description in RNAcentral is "long non-coding RNA (TAES_LNC012900)". Lineage: Eukaryota; Viridiplantae; Streptophyta; Magnoliopsida; Poales; Poaceae. The record is from RNAcentral.